AGGUGGUGAGCUUGGGGUGAUGGUGGUAAUGGUGGUUCUCCCAAACCAGCAACCUGCUCCAUCGUUAGAAUCAUAGAGUGACAGAACGGCCUGGGUUGCAAAGGAGCUCAAUGCUCAUCCAGCUCCAAGCCCUGCUGUGUGCAGGUCCCCAACCAGCCGCCCAGGCUGCCCAGAGCCACAUCCAGCCUGGCCUUGAAUGCCUGCAGGGAUGGGGCAUCCACAGCCUCCUUGGGCAACCUGUGCCAGUGCCUCACCACCCUCUGCCUCCAAAACUUCCUCCUCACAUCCAACCCAAACCUCCCCUGUCUCACUUUCAAGCCAUUCCCCUUGUCCUGUCACCACCCACCCUCACACACAGCCGUUCCCCCUCCCAUUUAUCUGCUUCUAUCAAGUACUGGAAGGCCACAGUGAGGUUUCCCUGGGUCUCGUUCAGCUUACGAUACACUUUGUCUUAUAAAGGCCUGUCAGUGAAUGUUGAAGAAUAAAAAUGGGGAGAAAUCUAGAAGGUGGUCACAAACGAGAAGAGAAUGGAAUGACGAAACAUCAAUAAAAGGAGAUGAGCAUGAUAAGGAAAGCCCCAAAAGGUUCCCGAGAAAGAUGUCACGAGGUGGAAGCAGUAGACGAGCUUAAUGAGACAAGCAGUCUGUUCUGAAGGUUAUUUUAAUGGUUUAGAUGCUCUGCUCAGCUUCAAACCAAGACGAGGUGAGCACAGAGCAGCUGCCUUUGUCCUCGAGAGCAUCCCUGUGUGUGUGGGUCCGUGCUGGGGUCCGUAGCUGGGAUGUGCUGGGAAGCUGCCCCUGUCCAUGCAGGGUGGAUCCUCAGGCUGCCUGCAGGAGCGCAGAGCAGUGCAGAACAGGGCAGGUGCUUUCUUCGUGCUUUGGUCAGUGCCUUGGCCAGGUGCAGACACGGGUUGUUGGGCAGAGGCUGCGGUGCUU
Long non-coding RNA from Tympanuchus pallidicinctus (lesser prairie-chicken), 935 nucleotides. RefSeq lists it as uncharacterized. The transcript has 3 exons. The record is from RefSeq and is a predicted model, not a curated record. Lineage: Eukaryota; Metazoa; Chordata; Aves; Galliformes; Phasianidae.